GAUGAACGCUGGCGGCGUGCCUAAUACAUGCAAGUCGAGCGGUAAGGCUCUGCACUUAUUAUUUGAACGGAUACGUCCAUCAUUUAUGGUGAAGCGUACCGACAACGUCACUCUAUAGGCUAUAGAGUACGGUCGAAUAAUGGGUGUAGAGUACACGAGCGGCGGACGGCUGAGUAACGCGUAGGAAUGUACCCCAAAGUGAGGAAUAACUGCCCGAAAGGGUGGCUAAUGCCGCAUGUGCUCUAAGGAG
RNAcentral lists this ribosomal RNA (250 nucleotides) under uncultured bacterium. Its description in RNAcentral is "partial 16S ribosomal RNA". It matches the Rfam family "Bacterial small subunit ribosomal RNA", at positions 28 to 187 of the family's 1533-position model. The record is from RNAcentral.